Molecule: ribosomal RNA, 532 nt
Filed under: Xylodon damansaraensis
Lineage: Eukaryota; Fungi; Basidiomycota; Agaricomycetes; Hymenochaetales; Schizoporaceae
Description: SSU rRNA
Rfam family: Bacterial small subunit ribosomal RNA
Source: RNAcentral
AGUCCAAAAUAUUAGUCAAUGCUCGCAAGAGUGAACUAGCUAACUGAAAUCAAUGGUGUGUCAUCAUUGAUAACGUAAGGGAAAAGAAAUGAUAUUACCUUACUAUUAGUGUCGUCCAAAUACUCGUGCCAGAAGACUCGGUAAGGCGAGAGACGCAAACGUUAGUCGUCUUAAUCAGGCGUAAAGGGUUUGUAGGCGGCUUUAAGCAUUUAAAACUUUUAAAUAACAUACUCUUAAAAAGUAACAAAAGGAUUAAAUCAAUUAAAGCUAGAAUCAAGUAGAGGUCAAAUUAAAUAAUACUUGGUGUAAGAUUGGUAUCUUUAAAAACCAAGCGGAAUACUAACGGCGAAGGCUUUUUUCCAAUAAUGAUUGACGCUGAGAAACUAAGGUGAGGACAGAAAAAAGGAUUAGAGACCCUCGUAUUCCUCACUGUCAACGAUGAAUGGUAGUUACUAGAUAUUAUAAACAUCUAGAGACGAUGUUAACACGAAAACCAUUCCGCCUUGUGAGUACGACUGCAAAGUUGAAAACA